AUUGAACGCUGGCGGCAGGCCUAACACAUGCAAGUCGAGCGGAUGAAGGGAGCUUGCUCCUGGAUUCAGCGGCGGACGGGUGAGUAAUGCCUAGGAAUCUGCCUGGUAGUGGGGAUAAAGGCCGGAAACGGGCGCUAAUACCGCCUACGUCCUGGGGGAGGAAGGGGGGGGACUUCGGGCCCCACGCUUUCAGAUGAACCUAGGUCGGAUUAGCUAGUUGGUGGGGUAAAGGCCUACCAAGGCGACGAUCCGUAACUGGUCUGAGAGGAUGAUCAGUCACACUGGAACUGAGACACGGUCCAGACUCCUACGGGAGGCAGCAGUGGGGAAUAUUGGACAAUGGGCGAAAGCCUGAUCCAGCCAUGCCGCGUGUGUGAAGAAGGUCUUCGGAUUGUAAAGCACUUUAAGUUGGGAGGAAGGGCAGUAAGUUAAUACCUUGCUGUUUUGACGUUACCAACAGAAUAAGCACCGGCUAACUUCGUG
Molecule: ribosomal RNA, 483 nt
Filed under: uncultured bacterium
Lineage: Bacteria
Description: partial 16S ribosomal RNA
Rfam family: Bacterial small subunit ribosomal RNA
Source: RNAcentral